GCGGAGGGCGCGUCAGCGCCCGGAGCGUAGCGGAGCCCAUUUCCUCAUUAAAUAAGCCAAAUAUAAAAGAAAAAGGAAGUACGGUGGAGAGUAUAUAGGAUUUCUAUACGAUUUCGUCCCUAUACAUCAAAUUUAUAAAAAAUUCUGCCAUUUUAUCAGUGUUGCCCAGUAAUUUUAUCUGGUCAUUUGUUGGUAAAUUUUCGUAAAUAUCUGAUUGAGCGAGACAACGUGUUUUUGGCACGGCGAUGGAGUUUUUGUUGUGUUUUAAAGAUGGUGCUAAACGUAGUCAGCCAGCUAGAAGCGAAAUGAUGAGAUUUUUCAAGAAAGAAGUGGAGGUUAUGAUCACUGUUUUUUAAAGAGAUGAAGUAGAAGAAGAGGAAGAAGUGACUGACGUCGGUCGUCUACGACAGACGUGAAGCUACAACUUCAAAAGUUAACAUAAGUAACAUAUGGUGUGCAGAGAGUACAAGUUUUGACUCAUUUUGGUUAUAUAUUUUUAUAUUUUGAUUUGUUUUUUGCUGUUGUGGUUAAUAUUGCAGUUCUGAAACACUUGUAUAAAGAAAACUAAAUUUUGAUGUUCUUAUAUAUCAGACUUUCUGUACAUGUGUGGCUAUAAUGUGCAACUAUAAAAGUAUAUAUGCAUUCAUGCCCUGUUGGUCUAAUGGCUAUGACACUUUUAUAAAUGAGAGAUCUAAGUUCGAAUCCUGGACAGGGCUAGGAAAAACAUUAAUUAUGUUGCACAUAUAGCUAUAUAUUGCAGUAUUAAGGAUAUUAUAUUCCGUAUACUAUGAUGUAUAUAUAUA
Molecule: long non-coding RNA, 803 nt
Organism: Hydractinia symbiolongicarpus
Lineage: Eukaryota; Metazoa; Cnidaria; Hydrozoa; Anthoathecata; Hydractiniidae
Exons: 2
Source: RefSeq, a predicted model, not a curated record